RNAcentral lists this ribosomal RNA (376 nucleotides) under uncultured bacterium. RNAcentral describes it as "bacterial SSU rRNA". It matches the Rfam family "Bacterial small subunit ribosomal RNA", at positions 524 to 898 of the family's 1533-position model. The record is from RNAcentral.
UACGGGGGGUGCAAGCGUUGUUCGGAAUUAUUGGGCGUAAAGAGCGUGUAGGCGGCCGGAUAUGUCAGAUGUGAAAGCCCCGGGCUUAACCCGGGAAGUGCAUUUGAAACUGUCCGGCUCGAGUAGGGGAGAGGGAAGUGGAAUUCCUGGUGUAGAGGUGAAAUUCGUAGAUAUCAGGAGGAACACCGGUGGCGAAGGCGACUUCCUGGCCCUAUACUGACGCUGAGACGCGAGAGCGUGGGUAGCAAACAGGAUUAGAUACCCUGGUAGUCCACGCCGUAAACGAUGUUCACUAGGUGUUGGGGGUAUUGACCCCCUCAGUGCCGGAGCUAACGCAUUAAGUGAACCGCCUGGGGAGUACGGUCGCAAGACUAAA